This is a long non-coding RNA of Scophthalmus maximus (turbot), 1052 nucleotides long. RefSeq lists it as uncharacterized. NCBI's taxonomy places the organism in Eukaryota, Metazoa, Chordata, Actinopteri, Pleuronectiformes, Scophthalmidae. The record is from RefSeq and is a predicted model, not a curated record. The transcript has 3 exons.
UACAGAACUCUUCCAUUAAUUGACUAAGGUUCUGAAACUGACCGUGAAGAUGGAGUAGGGAUCUCCCAUUGCCACCAUGUCGGAGUAGGCGUCGGCCCUGGAAAGGCUGUACUCCUUCAACUCCUCCGUCACCUGCAACAACAACAACAUCCCCUGAGCCGCCAUUGAGUCGGGAAGGACGAACAACACUGAGCCGGACACAAAGACGGUUCGUAUUGUUUGAGACCAGUCUGACAGGCGCUUUGAGACACUACGUUGAUACUCAAAGUGGCAGAUUGGGUUUCAUAGGUGAACCUGCAGGAAACGUUAUACAGGAAAGAAUUGGGGGCGUGAGGGAGAGAAGACCCUGGAGAGUCAUGGAAGCUUCAGGUAUUCACAGAUCACAUGAUGCACUUUUGUGAACAACAAUGUAAGUCAACGCGAAGACGAUGUCUUUGUAGUCGAUGCUGAAUCAGAAUAAGUUGACUCACUACGUAUGGUUUUGGUAUAUCUGAGUCAUUCUUGUUCUCACCCUCUUCUUAGUGAUGUCAUUGUUUGAGCCCGUCCACCGCGUCGCCUUGUCGACCACCAGGAUACCGACCAGCGAGUCGGUCUCCGCCACAGUGACCCCGAGUGUGACCUCGUCACCCGGCUUCCUCUUAGCGUUGCUCCAGGUUUGUCCGAUUGGCAGCUGCAGCACAUCGUUGAUGAUCUCUCCGUCGGGAUGCACACAGAAGACGAUGAUGCAGGCCAGAGGCGCCCAGGAGACUUCUGGGAAAAGUGUCGGAUCACCAGAGCUCUUCCCAGCAGACACCACCUGACCUCUGGACUUCACCUUCACACACAAAACAGGUGAUCAGAUCCCUUCCAGUUUUCCAGAUCUUUUGACCACUUGGAUGCAAACAAACACCUGAAGAAGUUGAAGAAGCCAUAUUGUGACUUUAAGUUAACUAAAAAAGAAGUGAAUAUAUGCAAUAGUGAAUGAUUCAUAACUCUGAAAAAAAUAUACAAAUCUAGUCAAUGAGGAAAUUCAUGAUUAAACCAUAAUUGAAUGUAAAUGAAUGUAGUGAACA